Molecule: ribosomal RNA, 259 nt
Filed under: uncultured bacterium
Lineage: Bacteria
Description: partial 16S ribosomal RNA
Rfam family: Bacterial small subunit ribosomal RNA
Source: RNAcentral
UACAUGGGGUGCAAACGUUGCUCGGAAUUAUUGGGCGUAAAGCGCACGUAGGCGGUUCGUUAAGUCGGAUGUGAAAGCCCCGUCGGACUCAAGCAUGAGGAAGUGCCACCCGAAACUGGCGAGCUUGAGUACGAAAGAGGAUCGCGGAAUUCCCAGUGUAGAGGUGAAAUUCGUAGAUAUUGGGAAGAACACCGGUGGCGAAGGCGGCGAGCUGGUCCAUUACUGACGCUGAGGCGCGACAGCGUGGGGAGCAAACAGG